UGGGGAAUUUUGGACAAUGGGGGCAACCCUGAUCCAGCAAUGCCGCGUGUGUGAAGAAGGCCUUCGGGUUGUAAAGCACUUUUGUCCGGAAAGAAAACGUCGUGGUUAAUACCCGUGGCGGCUGACGGUACCGGAAGAAUAAGCACCGGCUAACUACGUGCCAGCAGCUGCGGUAAUACGUAGGGUGCAAGCGUUAAUCGGAAUUACUGGGCGUAAAGCGUGCGCAGGCGGUCCGCUAAGACAGAUGUGAAAUCCCCGGGCUUAACCUGGGAACUGCAUUUGUGACUGGCGGGCUAGAGUAUGGCAGAGGGGGGUAGAAUUCCACGUGUAGCAGUGAAAUGCGUAGAGAUGUGGAGGAAUACCGAUGGCGAAGGCAGCCCCCUGGGCCAAUACUGACGCUCAUGCACGAAAGCGUGGGGAGCAAACAGGAUUAGAUACCCUGGUAGUCCACGCCCUAAACGAUGUCAACUAGUUGUCGGUCUUCAUUGACUUGGUAACGUAGCUAACGCGUGAAGUUGACCGCCU
RNAcentral lists this ribosomal RNA (525 nucleotides) under uncultured bacterium. RNAcentral's name for it is "partial 16S ribosomal RNA". It matches the Rfam family "Bacterial small subunit ribosomal RNA", at positions 355 to 874 of the family's 1533-position model. The record is from RNAcentral.